ACUUGCGUUAAUAUAAUAUAACUUAAUAACGCGUACAAUACAACAUUAACAAUUUUCAUGCUCAUAUAAAUUUGGUAUGAAUAAAUAUAUCAAUAUCAAGAAUAAUGUAUUUUAGAAAAGUAAAAAAAAAGUAGAAAAGAAAUAUCUGGGAAGAAUACUGUUCAUGAAAUCCUCUGAAGGUAAUGAAUGAUUUUAUAAAUACAAAUCAUUACGUUCAAUCAUAUAUUUUGUUAGUUAUUUGUAUGAUUUUAUUAGUA
Molecule: long non-coding RNA, 257 nt
Organism: Daktulosphaira vitifoliae (grape phylloxera)
Lineage: Eukaryota; Metazoa; Arthropoda; Insecta; Hemiptera; Phylloxeridae
Exons: 3
Source: RefSeq, a predicted model, not a curated record